Molecule: ribosomal RNA, 291 nt
Filed under: uncultured bacterium
Lineage: Bacteria
Description: partial 16S ribosomal RNA
Rfam family: Bacterial small subunit ribosomal RNA
Source: RNAcentral
UUGCGCUACGGGGCGUAGCAGUAGGGAAUCUUCCACAAUGGGCGAAAGCCUGAUGGAGCAACGCCGCGUGGGUGAAGAAGGUCUUCGGAUCGUAAAACCCUGUUGUUAGAGAAGAAAGUGCGUGAGAGUAACUGUUCACGUUUCGACGGUAUCUAACUAGAAAGCCACGGCUAACUACGUGCCAGCAGCCGCGGUAAUACGUAGGUGGCAAGCGUUAUCCGGAUUUAUUGGGCGUAAAGGGAACGCAGGCGGUCUUUUAAGGCUGAUGUGAAAGCCUUCGGCUUAAACGGA